UCUUUAGCCCCUUUCAAGCAUUACUUGAGACAACGCCCCAGGAUGGGAACAUAGCAAGGCACCUCUUUUAGUGUUGUGAUUGGGUACCUGGAGAAGA
RNAcentral lists this small RNA (97 nucleotides) under Malaciobacter pacificus. RNAcentral's name for it is "Arcobacter pacificus bacterial signal recognition particle RNA (4.5S RNA)". Lineage: Bacteria; Pseudomonadati; Campylobacterota; Epsilonproteobacteria; Campylobacterales; Arcobacteraceae. The record is from RNAcentral.